This is a long non-coding RNA of Lagopus muta (rock ptarmigan), 2426 nucleotides long. RefSeq lists it as uncharacterized. The record is from RefSeq and is a predicted model, not a curated record. The transcript has 3 exons. Lineage: Eukaryota; Metazoa; Chordata; Aves; Galliformes; Phasianidae.
GGAGGAUCUCUUCUGGAGAUCCCUCCUCUGGAGUUUUGCAAUGAGCCUAGGACAAGGAAGUUACAUGGAGACAGGAGGAACAAAGAGAAACAAGAGAAGUAAUAUUGAACAGCUUUUCCCCCUAUGGGAGAUGCUCCAGUUCACUCAUCUCUGUGGACCUCUGCUGUACCCUCUCGAAGUUCCUGCCUUUCAUGAACUGAGGAGCCCAGAACUGGAUACAGCACUCCAGACACGACCUCACCAGGGCAGAGAAGAGGGGGAGCAUCACUUCCCUUGACCUGCUGGCUACUCUAUUUUUAAUGCACCCCAGGAUACCACUGACCUGCCUGGGCACAGGAGCACACUGCUGCUCACAGCCAACCUCUUGCCCACCAGGACACCCAGAUCCUUCUCUGCAGAGCUCCUCUCCAGCAGGUCAGCCUCUAAUCUGUUCUGAUGCUUGCAGUUAUUCCUCCCCAAGUAUAGGACUCUGCACUUGUCCUUGGGAGUUCCUCUCUGCCCAACUCUCCAUCCACAUUUUUCAGUGUUUAAAGGUUUCCAGGUUUAGUAACAAGUUUAUAAUCUUUUUGGAAAAACAUACCACUUUAGUCCUUUCAUUUUCUUGAUAUUACUGCAUUUUUCUUUUCAGAUCUUCAAUUAUGGACUCUUUCUCACACAGUUUGUCACGUAAAAACCUCAAAAGUUUUCCUGAUGAGCAUUCUAUAUCUUCUCUAUCUAUGUUGUAAUACUUCUAUUAGGAGAUGAGAUUACUUAAUGACAUUCUUGCAUAAAUCACAUAGCCUUUUUUUUUUUUAAUGCUACAAUUUUUUUUUUUUAUUUGAGCACAUCAUAGUACACAUUCCAGAGUUUCUGGUACCAAAAAUAAAAUGUUAUUGUACCUGAUAUUUCAGAUACUUAAUCAAGAAAUGUGUUAUAUCUAAUACCUAAUCUAUAGUAAUAGAGACUUCAAACAUGGCAAAGAAAGGGAAAAAAAAAAAGGAAAAGCAUAUUCUAUAUGUUUAAAAACUUUUAAAGAACAUAUCUAAAACUCUUACAAGAAACAAAAUAAGAAAGUGCAGUAUAAGUACAGUGUAGCAAGAUAAACUAUUGAAAUGUUAACUUCUGGAUUACUGACAUUUAUUUUUGCAUCUUGAUUGUAUCAGUAAGGUGUUUAAAUUGCAGUAAAUGUUUUUAAAAAAGCAUCUGCAAUGAUUGAUUUGCUUCAAUGCAGUAAAAUCAGCCUUUCAGAGAAAAACAGAAUGUGCAGCCCCAUAUUAUACUGAAAUGCCUGCCCAUUGUGAUGCACAACCCGCAGUAACCAUUAGGAAACACUAUGCUCAAAAGUAUGUGUGAGCUCUUCCUUCAUGAGUACCUUGAUUAAGUCAUUUUUCAAGGUUAGGUGAUUUAAAUAUUGCUUAGCUUCUUUAAAAUAUUAAUAGCAGCAAUAUUUGUCUCUAGUGCAAUCCAUUCAUAUUUGACUCCUUAGUGAGCGUUACAGUUUCAUCUCAGAGCUUCCCACCUACUGAAUUACACUCAUCUGGCAUGGGGUGAAUCUCUAUCUGUUUACUGAAGCUGAACUAAAAGAAUCCAAAAGUAAAAAGAUCUUACAAGGGGAAAGUCAAAGGGAACCUAAACCUGCAGUUCCCUACUGAGAACACUUUACUGAAAGCUCCUUGGAAUACAUAUGCAUUUUAUUUUUACUACAGAAGGAUUCAUGAACAGGGGCUGGGAAAGAGAAUUUUCAAACACAGUGACAUUCACGUUUUUCUAUGUGGCUUGUGUGGCAGUGAUCUGAUCAUAUGUACUCAUCUGCAGUUCAGCUAGUAAACUUAUUUUUACAGUGAAAGAAAGACAAAAUUUAAGUUCCAAACUUUCUAAAUUGGAUCAUUCUUAGUAUUUGUGUUACACUCUGAAAUCUGGAACUCCGAAAAUUUAAGGCACGGUUCCUAGAGCACAGUAUAAAGUCAUUAAGGGUGUACGUGAUUGGUCAUCCUCCUCUUGUAGCCUGGGAAUUCAAUUUCCAAAUCUAUUGAGACAUUCAUUUCUGAUUGAACCAAGCAGCAUUAUGUGAUUACUAUGUCUCUGCUUCUGAAGAGAGCCAGUCACAGCCUCUGUCUUAUAAAACAACUUUCAAGUAUGCAAAACUGCACAGCUCAACAUGAGAGGAGGGGGAAAACAGGACUUGUAAAAAAACAAAACAAAACAAAAAAAACCUUAUUUUUGUGCUAUUUUCAUUCUACUUGAUGUGGCUUAUAUGCUUAGUCUUCAUGGAUUAUACAAACACAUCCUUCUCCAGGUAUUGUCAGAACUGACUUAUGACCUAUCACUACUCCAAUCAACAGUCCUUAACCUUGUGAAUGGUUAAAACCUACCUUAAUAUUUCCUCUGAGAACAGCCAGUGCGUCACAUAACUGCUGUUGGUAACUUUGUCGAAUUUGGACUUCUUC